GGAGGUGUGGCUCAGUGGUAGAGUGCUUGUCUCACAUGCAUGAGGCACUGGGUUCAAUUCUCAGCACCACAU
This 72-nucleotide transfer RNA is filed under the name Marmota marmota marmota (Alpine marmot). It matches the Rfam family "tRNA". Rfam says of the family: Transfer RNA (tRNA) molecules are approximately 80 nucleotides in length. Their secondary structure includes four short double-helical elements and three loops (D, anti-codon, and T loops). RNAcentral also lists the same sequence under 3 other names. Lineage: Eukaryota; Metazoa; Chordata; Mammalia; Rodentia; Sciuridae. The record is from Rfam by way of RNAcentral.